RNAcentral lists this ribosomal RNA (371 nucleotides) under uncultured bacterium. RNAcentral describes it as "bacterial SSU rRNA". It matches the Rfam family "Bacterial small subunit ribosomal RNA", at positions 527 to 896 of the family's 1533-position model. The record is from RNAcentral.
GUAGGGUGCGAGCGUUAAUCGGAAUUACUGGGCGUAAAGCGUGCGCAGGCGGUUCGUUAAGUCUGAUGUGAAAGCCCCGGGCUCAACCUGGGAAUGGCAUUGGAAACUGGCGAGCUGGAGUAUGGCAGAGGGGGGUGGAAUUCCACGUGUAGCAGUGAAAUGCGUAGAGAUGUGGAGGAACACCGAUGGCGAAGGCAGCCCCCUGGGCCAAUACUGACGCUCAGGCACGAAAGCGUGGGGAGCAAACAGGAUUAGAUACCCUGGUAGUCCACGCCCUAAACGAUGAUCCAUAGGUGUGGGGGGGGAGCGAUUCCUUGGUACCGUAGCUAACGCGUGAAGUGAUCCGCCUGGGGAGUACGGUCGCAAGAUUA